Mugil cephalus (flathead mullet) is the source of this 346-nucleotide long non-coding RNA. RefSeq lists it as uncharacterized. The transcript is spliced from 3 exons. The record is from RefSeq and is a predicted model, not a curated record. Lineage: Eukaryota; Metazoa; Chordata; Actinopteri; Mugiliformes; Mugilidae.
CCAGAAGGAGCGGUCCUCUUCAUCGUUGUUGUUUAUGGAAGCACGAAUUUCUUCGAACAGAGACUUUGACCUAAAGAGACACAUGCAUUAGCAUUGGUUUAAACGAACAACGGACUGGCAUUCGGCAAUAUGGAAAUUUCAUAUUUCAAUAUCACGAUUAUCAUCAAUAUUGCAUGUGGCAAUAAAACCGCAAGUGUCUAAACUAGACACACAAAUCGACAGGCUGUGGAAUCUACAACACUGUGGACAGUCUUGGAUCUUGAUAGAUGAUGACUGGAGCGCAGGCCCGAAGAAGGCCCACUGCUCAGACCGUUUAUGUGAAAACAACUGAACUUUUGCAACCAGC